This 437-nucleotide long non-coding RNA is filed under the name Nicotiana benthamiana. Its description in RNAcentral is "long non-coding RNA (NBEN_LNC016328)". The record is from RNAcentral. Lineage: Eukaryota; Viridiplantae; Streptophyta; Magnoliopsida; Solanales; Solanaceae.
UGAAAUGCAAGGUAAACCAACUCCAUGAGAUCAUGAUCCAAAACCUUUCUCCCGUUUGAGUGUGUCGAAGUUCCCCAAGAGUCUCAAAGGAAAUCCGGGAAAUGAUCACACCCAAAUGUAUAAUCAGAUGUGGAUAAGUGCAGGGUGGAAAGGCCAGCCCUCAAGUGUCCAAGUUCGGAGGGAACUCAGAUGGUCCCAAGGCAAGGCUCACAAGAGGGGGGCAAAAUUUAAAGGCUAAGAAAGUGUGCAAGUGCAGAUGAGAAUGCUAAAAAGGGAAAAAGAGAGGGAAAUAACUUCAAAUAAGCACACAUAAGGGGUUCAGGAAAAUAAGAUGAUUGUAAAGAGCCUAUUGCUUAGGCAUGGGCAGAUUCUAGGCAUGCCCAGUAAUGGAGAGUGCUAGCAUACCAGUAAGCAUGCUAGAACACAUGUUAUUAGAG